AUUGAACGCUGGCGGCAGGCCUAACACAUGCAAGUCGAACGCGUGGCGGACGGGUGAGUAAUGUAUGGGAAACUGCCUGAUGGAGGGGGAUAACUACUGGAAACGGUAGCUAAUACCGCAUACCAUCAGAUGCGCCCAGAUGGGAUUAGCUUGUUGGUGGGGUAACGGCACACCAAGGCGACGAUCCCUAGCUGGUCUGAGAGGAUGACCAGCAACACGAGAACUGAGACACGGUCCAGACUCCUUCGGGAGGGAGCAGUGGGGAAUAUUGAACAAUGGGCGAGAGCAUGAUGCAGCCAUGCCGCGUGUAUGAAGAGGGCCUUCUGGUUGUAAAGUACUUUCAGCGGAGAGGCGUUACCCGCAGAAGAAGCACCGGCUAACUCCGUGCCAGCCGCCGCGGUAAUAC
This 406-nucleotide ribosomal RNA is filed under the name uncultured bacterium. Its description in RNAcentral is "partial 16S ribosomal RNA". It matches the Rfam family "Bacterial small subunit ribosomal RNA", at positions 30 to 526 of the family's 1533-position model. The record is from RNAcentral.